This 305-nucleotide unclassified non-coding RNA is filed under the name plant metagenome. RNAcentral's name for it is "partial contains 5.8S ribosomal RNA, internal transcribed spacer 2, and large subunit ribosomal RNA". The stretch from base 1 to 105 matches the Rfam family "5.8S ribosomal RNA", at positions 50 to 154 of the family's 154-position model. The record is from RNAcentral.
GAAAUGCGAUAAGUAGUGUGAAUUGCAGAAUUCAGUGAAUCAUCGAAUCUUUGAACGCACAUUGCGCCCUUUGGUAUUCCUUCGGGCAUGCCUGUUCGAGCGUCAUCUAAACCUUCAAGCCCUGCUUGGUGUUGGGUGCCUGUCCCGCCUCCGCGCGCGGACUCACCUCAAAUCCAUUGGCGGCCCCCGCGUCGGCCACGAGCGCAGCAGAAACGCGAACUCGUGAGCCCGUCCGGGCGGCUCCCAGAAGCUACACCCACCCAGUUUGACCUCGGAUCAGGUAGGGAUACCCGCUGAACUUAAGC